RNA transcript from Oncorhynchus tshawytscha (Chinook salmon), 6619 nucleotides. RefSeq lists it as uncharacterized. The record is from RefSeq and is a predicted model, not a curated record. The transcript has 6 exons. Lineage: Eukaryota; Metazoa; Chordata; Actinopteri; Salmoniformes; Salmonidae.
GGAAGCCAUAUUCAUUAAUUAAAUAGCUUAGUCCAUGUAGGCCUCAAUUUGCGCUGUUGAGCAGGCAGCGGGUGGCGUAAUACUGGAUGCCCGAUUGGAAGCCUAUAAUCUGUGGGGAGAAGUCUGGAGAGACGGUGAGCAGUGAAAGCAACGAGGUGUGGUUGUGCCCCCUGUGUCAACAAGGCUUACCAGACAGGGGCUCCCUUUCUCUGCACCUGUCUGACAGUCAUAGUGUGCUCCCUAACUGUGUAGACAAGCUGCUGGACAUUGCUGCUCCCAAACAGGGGGCGAGUGGAGUGGACGGGGACACCGAUGUUCUGCAUGACGCAGAUGCUCCGUCAUUACAGCUGGAGCUUUUAGAAGCCUCCUCCGCCUCCCUCUCAGACCCGUGUCAUAAUAAUGAGAACACUGACGGACCCCAACAUAAUUCCGACAGUAGGCACACUCUCGUUGGGUCUGGAGACAAAGAUAAAGAGAUGGAUAAGGAGGCAGAGGAAGCUAGAGAUCUGGAGGGAGGUGGAGUUCAGGAGAGAGAUCAGUCCACAGAAACACCUGACAACAAUGAAGAGUCAAGGGGUACAAAUUGUGUAAUGGCUGAAGGCGAUGACAGUCCUCCAUUCAAGUGUAAUACGUGCUUAGAGGCUUUUCCUACCAGGACCGCAUUAAGUGUUCACUACAACUCUGCAUCCCAUGUGCAACGGAUGAGAACAGGAUCCCUAAAACAAGGUGGCGAAAAUGGGACCCCAGCCGCUCCCUCAGUCCCUUUUCUGUCUCGGCCAUAUCUAUCAAACAAGCCCUACCAGUGCACUGUGUGUCGAGUCUCUUACAACCAUGCCAUCACCCUGGAGAGUCAUUUGAAAUCUGUUUUGCACCAGACUCGUAGCAGAAAUGCAGGAAUCUCUGCCAACAGUGCAGGUGGAAAUUCAGGAAGGACCAAUAUGGCUACGAACUUAGUUGUUACGUCUGGGGGCAGUGCUGCACAGUUGGUUAGCACCCCCAGCAGCAAUUGUGUCACCCCGGCAAGCCUGGCUGCUGCAGCAAUGACUAACAAAGAUGGAGAUGCAAUUCAAACCCAGCCGUCUCCCUCACUGCUUUCCUCCCCUGUGACCUCUGCUCAGGCAGUCUCUGCUUUUCUCACCCUCCUCACGUCCAGCCCAAGCUCUAUCUCACACUCCCUCCUCCCCUCCCUCCUCCCCUCUCUGUUUGCGGCUGGUGCAUCCCCUGCCACGGCCUCACCUCAGCUCAUAACCCAGACUCAGAUGCUCAUCCCCUUUAUUCUGAAUGGGCUCCAAACACAAAGCCAGAGACUAAACCCAGAGCUUCUGACCCAGUCAAUACCCCUACUAGGUCUCAAUGCUGCCCAGCAAGCUAUCCUGGCCCAAAGACUCAGUAGCUUACAGAACCAGUGGCCAGCUGUCGGUCUCCAAGCAAUCUCACAAGCCUGUUCAGAAGACAGCCAAACAAACAAGAGCAAAGUGAAGCAAGACACAAACGAGGCGACAGCUGAGGAGAAAGGAUCACUUAAGGCUGAGGAGGAGGACAGUUGGUCCAUGGAAUGUGGUGAUGGAGAAAGAGAGAUUUGUGAGGAGGAUGGUAAGGGAUAUGCACAAGAGCAUCUCGGUGCCUUAGUAGGCAAAAAUAACAGGGCUGAGUCAUGUAUGAUAGAUGGAGAUAUUGAAAUGAAAGAGAGCACAACAGAGAGCGGGAACUCAGCAGGUCACAUGGGGCCAGAUGAGAAAGUGGGGGACAAUGACAAGUGUAGUGACCGCUCACUGUCUGUUACCAGCAACUCAAGCCUAAGUCCUACCACUUUAAACCUUUUGCUUAGCCCUGAUUCUACCCCUCAAAAAUCUGAAGUUGGCACAAGCCCUUAUGCCUCUGUCUGCUCCCCGGAAUCUAGCCCCUCUAAAUGCACCUUAAAUUCCCCCGAUUCAACUCGUCGCCAUGCUCAUUUCAGGGCUCGCCACUUCUCAGGCCCCCCGAUACUGUCAGAGUUCCAGAUACAGGUUAUGCGUGCGUUUCUGGAGUCGCGUAGCGAGGCUGAUGCAGCCAGUCCUCCCCGUGAAGACUGCGAGUCGUUGGGCAGGGAGGUGGGGCUCACCGAGGUGGAGGUACGCAAGUGGCUCACCGACGCCCGACGAGCCAAAGAGCGGCAGAUAGCUGGGGGAACAGAGCGCGUGAGCAGCAUUGCAGGCUAUGGUAAAAAAUACAAGGGUCUUGAUAACGACGAGGAGGAAGGUUGUCUUACGAUAGAUGAGACAGAGGGUGGGGUCAGCGACGAGGCCUCUGGCAGUCACGCGAUGGAUUUGUCAAAUAGUGGAGGGCGUAAAGAGAUGGGGAGGGAGAGCCAAGGGGACUCGUGUCUGACCUCAGACAAUGAAGAAUUCUACACCUCUGUCAUUGUGAGUGAUGAGGACAGCCUGAGUGGCUCCAUGAGGGAGGGGCCAGGAAGCCCUGCUAAAGAGGAGGCUCUGGUAGAACUGUCAGCAGACAAGGGUUCAGGAGGAAAGGUGUUGCGCUCCACCACUGUGUUCCUCUCAGACGCUGAGGAUGACGAUGAUGCCGAGGAGGCCGCAGCUCAGAGAGCAAAGAGAAGAAAGAGAAAGAGGGAGUUGGAGCGGGAGGAGGUAGAGGUUAAGAAGGAGAGACUAGACCCCGACGUGGAUUUACAACUAGAGGCCCAAGCUGAUCCUCCUUCCCACCUUCCCGUCACCAUUGACCAUCAACGGCUUCCAAGUGGCAUUCUACACUCCCUCCCUCUGUCUCUGUCCCUCACUCCAUUCUCUAAUCAGUUCCAUAGCCCUUAUGUUCUCUCUCUCCCUCCCUCAGUGGUUGGGCUUGGAGUUGCAGAAGGAGAUGGAGGCAAAGUACCUGCCUUUCCAAACCCCCCUAACAUCACCCGGUUUUCUGACCCUCUCAUUACAUCAUCCCUCUCCUCCCAUACCCACACCUCCCACUACAUGUCUAAUGGAGGAGACUGUGAGGCUGCUUUAGAUCUCAGCAUUGGGAAAAGCAACAGCUCAACAUCUCUCACGGGUGACAAGACUUCAGCACAAAAGGGCCGUCUGCUUGAUGGACUCGGUCUAAGGCCCACAGCUUUUGGGGCACCUGGGGAAGGGAGACUCAUUGUGGUCAAGGUCAAACCUGAGCAAGCGACUUCCAACAGCAGUGGCUUUGUCAGUGGGAAUAACAUGGCCAAGGCCAGCACUGUCUACAUGAGAGAGAAAGAGGAGAGAGACCAGAAAGGCAGGCCCAAAGCACGGCGGUACCGCGACAUGAGACGUUCCAGGACCAUCAUCCAGGCUGAGCAGCUAAAUGUGCUUUAUGGCUGCUAUUUCAAAGACCCAAAUCCUGGGAAACACGAGUUUGAGCAGAUAUCAGAGUGGGUCCAUCUCCCAAAGAAAGUUGUACAGAUUUGGUUCCAGAACAUGCGGGCCAGGGAGCGCAAGGGUGAGGUUCGCUUCAUCAGUGAUGGCACUCUGGCAGCAGUGGGCAAACCACUCAUCAAGUUCACCUGGCCACUGUCACAACCCAUCUUCUCCAGCACCCCCAAAUCAAACUCCAACAGCAGCGUCUCAACUGUAGCCAAUCCAGUACGGGCCAUCCCAAAGAUGGAGGUGAAGAAGGAGGAAAAUGUAAAAAAAACUGUUCCAAACAGGCCCAAGGAGGUGGCCUCUUCCGUUUCCUCCGUGAGCCACAGUGUGUCUGCAGUGCCAAAGACCAAAAUGGAGUUGACGAACAAUGUCACAAUGGUCAAAAUCGCCCCCAAAAGCAUCGCUCCAGCUCUCCCUGUCGUCCACAAGGAAACCCGACCUCCCCCGCCUCGCCCCCUUCCCAAACAUGCGCCUGAAGAGGAAGUUGGGGAAGAUGAUGAGGAAGUGGAUGAUCGUAACCAAGCGAAGCCACUCGCCAGGCCUGGAUCCACCAACCGCAUGGUGCCAAAACUGCCCUCGACGCCAAUUAACAAGUCUCCUGCUGCGACGUCACAAAAGCAAAAUGGGCUCAAUUACUGGUCGGCCAAGGGCCCCUUUAAGAUCAACACACUGUCUAGGGAACAGUUGGGUCUGUCAGCACCCCGUACCUUCACAGCUGUCGGUGCAGCUGCUGCCCCCACUGCCAUCACCAUUUCUGCCACGUCCUCUGCUCCUGCUGCUGCCACGGCCUCUGCUCCUGCCUCUGCUGCCACGGCAACUACCACCCCCACCACCACCACCACCACAGCAAGCGCAAGUAAUCAAACCACAGUCAGCAUUGUCACCAUCGCUAAGACCUCUCCAUCGGAGAGCAGCUUCCUGCACCACUCCACCACCCGCAGGCCACGCACACACCUGUCCUGUCUGCAGCUGUCCAUCCUGCAGUCAUGCUAUGAGACGUGCGCCCACCCUAACGCCAUGGAGUGUGAGGCGGUAGGGACGGAGCUGGGGCUGCCGCUCAAGGUGGUCCAGAUCUGGUUCCAGAAUACCCGCGCCAAGGAGAAACGAUGGAGGCUGCAGCAGGAGAAACUGUCUCCUGUGUCGUCAGAUCCCUCCAAGACGAUUGACAUGAGCUCGGGCAGCUACCUGCAGUACAACGCUCUACGAGCCCACCGUCCCAUCCUUCCCAAACCGGUUCAGCUGACCGUCCUGGAGCCCUCUUCUCCCCCAGCCGGGGGCCAGCCUGCAGGCCGAGAGACGCUGAGAGGCAAGUGCCAGGCCUGCAACACAGGCUUUGAGUCCAGAGCAGCAGCAAGAUCCCAUGUCUUCUCCCUUCGACAUUUAGCCACUCUGAGAACCACUAACUUUGGCCAGCCAGCGACCAUCAUCAACAAUAAAUCUGAUAGCGGGUCUAUUUCUGUUUCCGCCUCCGGGUCUUGUGUGGAGGACCCUUCAGCUUCCCCACCCUUACCCAGCAGCACCAGCUAAGGCACCCAUCAGUGCUGGUAAAGACUGGACCCAUUGGGCUCCUUAAAUGUUUAUAAACACAUUGGGCACUGGUCCUCCAAGCUAAUAUUCUUUAAUGUGUGAUGGAAAGGCCCAGUCACCUACCACCCUUGCUCCCUCACAUUGGACGUCUUUCUACCGAGUUCUUGUGUCCAAACUGGAUACACUGUUGUCACACUGCUUCACCAAAAGUUAUCAAAUGAGUGAACAUUUACCAGUCCCUUAUAUUGUCCUGGGCUGCGGUUAUAAUAUUGUCCUUAACCAUCCUGGCCCAGUUUUUAAAUCACUCUUAUAAUACUUGUGUAUUAUCCCUAAAGACUGUGCUUAUGCAAAAAAACAAUUAGGCCAUUAUCUGACUGACUAAAAAAAGACUGCUGGGAUUACCUGUAACUGUAUAGAGUUGAACCAGAAAUGAGAAGUAGCUCUUUUUUUUAGUGGCGUUGAACUUGCCAUCUUGAUUGUGUGUCACUACAAGCUUUCUGUAUGGAUACAGGUGGCGUGCGUUUGGAUGGUGUAUGCUACUUCACAUGGAAUCGGAAGGAUACAUCAACUUCCUGGGGAGGUCAAAGGAAACAGACUUGACAAGAAGAACUAGAAAAGAACGGGGUUUAAUUUCUGAGAUUUAAAUUUUUUUUUUUCUGUCUUGAAACAUAUGUGGUUGCAAGCUAGUACUUAUCUGUGUAUGGGUAGAACAAUGCAAGUCCAGAAACCAGGAGAAGGGAGUCAGUUGGGUACUCUAGUCGUCACCUUUGUCUUACUGGGGAUACUUCUGUAAGCAAUUGGGACAUGCAAAAAGUCAAGACCGCACAAACUAUGAAAGGUGCUGUUUUGAAGGACACAAAAUACUAAAGAUAUUUUUCCUUCUGUUUUAAGUUGUAUAUUAUUAAUAAUGUUACUAUUAAUAGUAUUGACAAAAUGCAAAAUGACAAAUUACACUUUUUUUUUCUCUUAAAAAAAAAAAAAAGAAAUAUAUUAAGAAAAAAAUAAUAUUCCAAAGUUAUCCUUCCUUUUGCUUUCUGUCAUUUAAAAAAACCAAAAAGCAAUCUUGAGGUUGACAGAGCAGCAGAGAUGUUCUUCAUGCAGACUGUAAAGGAACUCCCAUGGCUUGACAUUUGAGCCAGUCCAACAUUUUUUUACCAUGAGCUACAGAUGAAUGCAUUUCAGCCUUCACAACCUGGGGCAGGCACUUGAUUUGGCUCAUAGACUACAAGUUUUAAAAUAUCCUUCAUAAUUACUAAUCUUUUUUUUUUUUUUUUUUUUUUGUUUGUUAUGGUGUCGAGCUGUAGCUUGUCUAAAAAUAAGGACUGGGUUGCAGUGCUGUGCUCUAAGUCUGGGAUCGGUCCAAGGUAGUUUUAUGGAGAUAUGCUUUUUAUUCUAUUCACUAUUCAUUGUCACUUGAUUAUCACUAUUGUUAUAACUACUACUUCUGCUAUUUUUAUCAUUAUUCAUCACUGUUUUGAUUGUUGACUCAUAACGGUUUUAAUGAUGUCUCUUUACUCAAGAAAGAGAAUUUUUAUUGGUAUGAAUAUUGAACAAUAAUGGUGGCAGUGUGUUAUAAGUGUGUUAGCAUAUUGAUUCAGCUUUUUUUCCUUACUUGUACUCUCAUUUUGUGUUGGAUCGCCAUUUGGUUUUCUUUGGUAUACAGAAAAUAAAUACAUUUUAAUUGAACAACAAAACUGGUCCUAUUACCAUGUUAUUGG